RNAcentral lists this ribosomal RNA (321 nucleotides) under Triticum aestivum (bread wheat). RNAcentral describes it as "partial small subunit ribosomal RNA". The record is from RNAcentral. Lineage: Eukaryota; Viridiplantae; Streptophyta; Magnoliopsida; Poales; Poaceae.
ACCUCGCGAGGGUCGACGGACGCAACUGAGGUGUUAUCACAUGUGCCUGUACAGAUCACUCCGGAGAUGAACGCGGUUCUGGAUGGACUUUUUACUCCGGAAGAUGUGCACAAGGCUCUUUUUCAGAUGGCGCCAUCAAAGGCACCGGGUGUCGAUGGCUUCACAGCGGGUUUUUUCCAGAAGCACUGGGAGUUGUUACGUCAUGAUAUAACUAGUGCGGUUCUUGGAUUCCUUAAUGGAGGGGAUCUGCCUUUGGGUUUGAAUGAUACGUCUAUAACACUUAUACCAAAGGUACGAAACCCCCAAAAUAUUACUCAAUUC